RNAcentral lists this ribosomal RNA (425 nucleotides) under uncultured bacterium. RNAcentral describes it as "partial 16S ribosomal RNA". It matches the Rfam family "Bacterial small subunit ribosomal RNA", at positions 354 to 796 of the family's 1533-position model. The record is from RNAcentral.
GUGGGGAAUCUUAGACAAUGGGCGCAAGCCUGAUCUAGCCAUGCCGCGUGAGCGAUGAAGGCCUUAGGGUUGUAAAGCUCUUUCGUGGGGGAAGAUAAUGACUGUACCCCAAGAAGAAGCCCCGGCUAACUCCGUGCCAGCAGCCGCGGUAAUACGGAGGGGGCUAGCGUUGUUCGGAAUUACUGGGCGUAAAGCGCACGUAGGCGGACUGGAAAGUCAGGGGUGAAAUCCCGGGGCUCAAACCCGGAAAUGCCUUUGAAACUGCCAGUCUUGAGUUCGAGAAAGGUGAGUGGAAUUCCGAGUGUAGAGGUGAAAUUCGUAGAUAUUCGGAGGAACACCAGUGGCGAAGGCGGCUCACUGGCUCGAUACUGACGCUGGGGUGCGAAAGCGUGGGGAGCAAACAGGAUUAGAUACCCGGGUAGUCC